AUAACAUCACUUUUAGAACAGAUGAUUUGCUGUUAUACGGCACUAUGCAUAAUAAGGGACAUAACUUAAAUUACAUUUGGGACGUUUUAAAAUGGGUUAAAAAGCAGUAGCAGUUUAGCAAGACGAUUUUAUAAUAACAACCCUGCCGAUUAACAACACAAAAUCGGUCGCGCUGCACAUGCGUCAUUUUUGACCUAGCGCCUUGACGUGACAUCCGAGCAGAGCAGGGCAGUGUACAGGGAAGCAUAAAGUGCCUUAGACAGAAUCAGUGUCACCAACUACACAGGAAAGUAUGAGCAAGAUGGACAAAAGCAGUUCCUCUGGAUGUACACAGGAGGAAAACGUCCUUCAACUGGAAAGACAUGGUCAUGUUCCUUGAGGGAGAGGACUGCUAGCAUUUAAAGUACGAUGUUUGGUGGGACAGUGGCCAACUCCGGAUCCCAGAGACAUAGCCGAGUAUGUGCAGGAUACGGAGGACAUGACAGUAGACAAACGAUCAGCAUACACAUUCAUUCAUAUCUACCUUCUCCCUUUGAAAUGUAUUGGAAGCCAUGUAAACACGUCUAAACAGUGAUUUCAUAGUGGCAGGUUAUUGUUGUUCAGUGUGUUAUGCAUGUAUGCACUUUGCCCUGGAUGUGGCUAACUAUGCUAGAAUGCUGUACCUAAAAGACAACUUCUAGUUGUUACCACACACUUUUAAAUUUAAGCAGACACACUUAUCCAGAGUGACUUACAGUAGGGAGUGCAUACAUUUUUCAUCAUUUUUCCUAACUGGUCCCCGGUGGUAAUCGAACCCACAACCCUGGAGUUGCAAGCACCAUGCUUUACCAACUAGGCAUUGACCCAAAUGUUCUCCAUAAAAACAAAAAGAGAGAAAAAAACUAAAAGGUUGACAGUAGAGAAACAGAUUGCACAUCGCCCAUAGAUAAACAGGUAUGGAGACAAUAUGACUACAGGCUAUGUAUUUCUCUACUUCAAUAAACAUAUAUCCAGGGACACAAAACUGUUGAAAUACAAUGACACGCCAGUUCAAUACAAUACAACUUCUGGUGUCCGAAGUCCUGUAAGCUGCACAUGUUGUUGUCUCCCUCCAAUACCAGAGCUAUGAGGACCACAGCCAAGUACGAUCCUAGGACACGGGUGGAUGGGACACACACACUGGUUAUUUGUUAUUUGUAAUCAAAAUAAAUACACUGACUUGUAUAAAAACAUAAAUAUAUUGGAAACUAAAC
Molecule: long non-coding RNA, 1232 nt
Organism: Oncorhynchus gorbuscha (pink salmon)
Lineage: Eukaryota; Metazoa; Chordata; Actinopteri; Salmoniformes; Salmonidae
Exons: 3
Source: RefSeq, a predicted model, not a curated record